GAUGGUAGUGUGGGUAUUACCCAUGUGAGAGUAGGGAGCCGCCAGAC
Molecule: ribosomal RNA, 47 nt
Filed under: Gilliamella apicola SCGC AB-598-B02
Lineage: Bacteria; Pseudomonadati; Pseudomonadota; Gammaproteobacteria; Orbales; Orbaceae
Source: RNAcentral